RNAcentral lists this ribosomal RNA (534 nucleotides) under uncultured bacterium. RNAcentral describes it as "partial 16S ribosomal RNA". It matches the Rfam family "Bacterial small subunit ribosomal RNA", at positions 355 to 880 of the family's 1533-position model. The record is from RNAcentral.
UGGGGAAUAUUGCACAAUGGGCGCAAGCCUGAUGCAGCCAUGCCGCGUGUGUGAAGAAGGCCUUCGGGUUGUAAAGCACUUUCAGCGAGGAGGAAGGUGGUGAACUUAAUACGUUCAUCAAUUGACGUUACUCGCAGAAGAAGCACCGGCUAACUCCGUGCCAGCAGCCGCGGUAAUACGGAGGGUGCAAGCGUUAAUCGGAAUUACUGGGCGUAAAGCGCACGCAGGCGGUUUGUUAAGUCAGAUGUGAAAUCCCCGGGCUCAACCUGGGAACUGCAUUUGAAACUGGCAAGCUAGAGUCUCGUAGAGGGGGGUAGAAUUCCAGGUGUAGCGGUGAAAUGCGUAGAGAUCUGGAGGAAUACCGGUGGCGAAGGCGGCCCCCUGGACGAAGACUGACGCUCAGGUGCGAAAGCGUGGGGCAGCAAACAGGAUUAGAUACCCUGGUAGUCCACGCUGUAAACGAUGUCGAUUUGGAGGUUGUGCCCUUGAGGCGUGGNUUCCGGAGCUAACGCGUUAAAUCGACCGCCUGGGGAG